GACAAACGCUGGCGGGGUGCGUGAGACAUGCAAGUCGAACGGGGUUUCAUGGGGCUUGCUCUGUGAAACCUAGUGGCGGACGGCUGAGUAACGCGUAGGUGACCUGCCCGGAAGUGGGGAAUAACUGCCCGAAAGGGUGGCUAAUACCGCAUGUGGUCGUCGAAUCAGUUCGCCGACUAAAGGAGUAAUCCGCUUCCGGAGGGGCCUGCGUCCGAUUAGCUAGUUGGUGAGGUAACGGCCCACCAAGGCGACGAUCGGUAGCUGGUCUGAGAGGAUGAUCAGCCAGACUGGGACUGAGAACGGCCCAGACACCUACGGGUGGCUG
Molecule: ribosomal RNA, 325 nt
Filed under: uncultured Chloroflexota bacterium
Lineage: Bacteria; Bacillati; Chloroflexota
Description: bacterial SSU rRNA
Rfam family: Bacterial small subunit ribosomal RNA
Source: RNAcentral